CCUACGGGAGGCAGCAGUGAGGAAUAUUGGUCAAUGGGCGAGAGCCUGAACCAGCCAAGUCGCGUGAGGGAUGACUGCCCUAUGGGUUGUAAACCUCUUUUCUCAGGGAGUAAAGUGAUUCACGUGUGGCUGUUUGCGCGUACCAGAUGAAUAAGGACCGGCUAACUCCGUGCAAGCAGCCGCGGUAAUACGGAGGUUCCGGGCGUUAUCCGGAUUUAUUGGGUUUAAAGGGAGGGUAGGCGGGGGUUCAAGUUUGGGGUCAAAUUUGGUGGCUCAACCCCGGAUUGCAGGUGAAACUGCAGCCCUUGAGUGCGCGAGAGGUAGGCGGAAUGCGUGGUGUAGCGGUGAAAUGCUUAGAUAUCACGAAGAACUCCGAUUGCGAAGGCAGCAUACCGGCGCGCAACUGACGCUGAUGCUCGAAAGCGUGGGUAUCGAACAGGAUUAGAUACCCGAGUAGUC
This 459-nucleotide ribosomal RNA is filed under the name uncultured bacterium. RNAcentral's name for it is "partial 16S ribosomal RNA". It matches the Rfam family "Bacterial small subunit ribosomal RNA", at positions 338 to 795 of the family's 1533-position model. The record is from RNAcentral.